AAAAUCUAAUACAGAGAAGUAACAAUUCCCAGAAUUGUUUUACCAGAAGUUUUCUAAUAAUCAUAAUCUCCAAAGUCCAAAUGCCACCUAAAAAAUUACAUUACUAAUAAACAAUACCUCAAAGAGGUAAAUUGUUCUUUCUAAAACAGAGUACGAAGAAGGAAAAAUAGCGCCUAGCUGAUACUUUCAACAGGAAAUGGAUAGGACCAGAUAGACAAAACUGAAAUAACCUUGAGGAGAAGUCUGACCGUACUCUAUGUACAAGGACAUUUAGCUAAUAAUCUGGUAGAUAUCAAAGGAAUAGUGGGAUAAUUUUCUUAUUAGGUCAAAAGGUAGACUAUAUGUUCUCGAGUAGACACAUGACAUUACCUAGCUUGAGGUAUUCCUCCGUGCAGCAUAAGAUCGAUAUGCUGCCAGUCCAACUACAGCAACAGCAGCCACAACUGAAGUAAACAUAAGCGAGCGAUUAACAAGGUGACGAUAUCGUUUCUGGCUACGUCCAACUUCAGUUUCAGGAACACUUAAAUGAGGGUGCUCUGCAGCAGUGACAAUUCUAUUGAACAUGCUAUUCAGAUCCCUCUCCUUCACACUAAUGUGAAUAGGUGCAUCUAUUCCAAAAUUCUGACAUAUCUUUGCUGAAUCUUUUAUUGCCAUUGGAUAUGAAUCAAGAUCAUCCUUUGCAGCAACAAAUAGACAAGGCACCAUGAAACCACUAACUUCCCCUCGCCUUGCCACAGUCAUCAGCAAUUCUGAUGCUCUUUUUAAAGAAUAUUCAUCGGAGCUAAAGGGGGAAAAGAAGAAAAAAGUACUCACACAAAAGCAAAGCAUUAUCAAGACAACGAUGAAGAAGAAGGAACCUGUCUAUAUCCAAGGUGAUGGACUAUGCCAAUGAAUUCAACUAUACUCUAAAAGCUGCUAGUCACUUAGAUCUUGCAUUACUCACCUGUCAUAUGCAAACACUGCUACAUCACAAGAUGCCAAAGAUUCCUUAGUAGAUAGAAUCAUCUUAACUUCAUCUUCUGGAAUCUCCCUGAGUACAAGUGUUUUCUUAGUUCCCCCAAGACGGUCAACAACAUUAACAGCAUAGUGCUCAUCAGUUGUCACCGCAUAAUUUUCUGAGAAAGGCCUUCCCAACAACGACUUCAGCAAGGCCGACUUGCCAGAUCCUUUAGGACCGAAAACAAAACACUGGUAAACAUUUCGAUCUGUCUGUUGUUUCUUGCGAUCAACUGAUUUUCUCCUGGUAAGACGGAGUGCUGAUGCAGCACCGCAGUUAUACCCAAUAUAUAUCAAGUUGGCCAAACUCUGAGCUGGUUCCAGCAACGUCAUAAGAGCCCACUCAGAUAGGAAAGCAGAAAGAGACAAGCCCCCCAAUGGAGUUCUUUCGACAGCAUCCUUGUAGGGAGCUUCACCCCAGGGACUUUCCGGUGCAGUUGAAAAAAGAUCAUCAAGCUCAGAAUUUCUGAGAACUCCAUCUUUAUCAGUGUCAAAUGUGCUGAAGACCCCUUUCAAGAACUCUACUGCUUCGCUGGUCAGUUCCAAACUCUGAUCGGGAGCUUUUUUGAAUGGUAUUGUGAGGUUAUCAUCCUUCAGCUUAAUUUCAUCAUUGUACCCAAAUUUCCUUAACACGGUCCAAGUGGUCUCAAGUCGACCCUUCUCUAUAAAAAGUGCAUGAAGAAAAAGAAACCCUGUCAAUGUAAGGCCCAGGUCAUUUACACCUUGAGGUAGCUUCUCCUGUACUACUCUUUUGACACCCACUAUCUCAGCGGGCUGCAGCGGAGCAUUGAAGCACUUAAUCUGAAAUUCAUUAAGCUCUUCAUCAUUGAGAGCGUCAUCCAUGUCAUGAUCACAAAGAAUAAAUAUCCGUUUCAGUGCUCUAACACAACGGGGUUUAAGAGCCUGAGUUUCAUGAUCAAAGAGUGGAGCCGUUGGAUGAAGUACAGCUUUCUGAGCAUAAUAAAACACUUCAGGUACCUGAACUAGGUUUGCAGCAGAACAUUCUAUGCAAGUCUCAAUCUCGCGGAAUUGUUGCAUGAUUGGAGCCAUCACUUGCUCAAGAUUCAUAUGAUGCUCCUCAUCUCGCUUAUCUAGCUUACAGCCAACAACAAUUACCGGCACCUUGAUCUCUAAGCGACGGAACUCAUAAAGCCAGAAAGUAGUCAAACGAUUGAGUGUAGAAGGCUGAUCGCAAGCAUAGGUAAGGACAACAGCAUCGGCUCGCUUCAAUUCUUCAGCAACCUUACCUCUGCUCUCCAAACUUGAGGAAGUAUCAAUGAUCGUAACAGGAACAUUAUCGGGAUAGAGAUCGGCAGGAAGUCGAGUCGGAGGAAGUACCGGUGGAACUUCCUCCGGAAAAGUUUCACUAGCGGCAGCUGUAAUGAGGCUUGAUUUGCCAGUAGCACGGUCGCCGACGACGACGACACGGACGUUAGUACGGCCACUGGAGAUUGAACCGCCGAGCAUUUGAAUGAGAUAUGGUAGAUUUGACACUGCAAAAUGGGAAUCAAAUCGAAUCGAAUCAAAUAAAAAUAUAUCAGUCACUUACUAUUUUGUUCCUCUGUGGAGGAGGAGUUUUCUG
RNAcentral lists this unclassified non-coding RNA (2578 nucleotides) under Hevea brasiliensis (rubber tree). Lineage: Eukaryota; Viridiplantae; Streptophyta; Magnoliopsida; Malpighiales; Euphorbiaceae. The record is from RNAcentral.